GGGAAGGUGGCUCAGUGGUAGAGCUCUUGCCUUGCAUGUAUGAGUUCAAUUCCUCCCCU
Molecule: transfer RNA, 59 nt
Filed under: Dipodomys ordii (Ord's kangaroo rat)
Lineage: Eukaryota; Metazoa; Chordata; Mammalia; Rodentia; Heteromyidae
Rfam family: tRNA
About the family: Transfer RNA (tRNA) molecules are approximately 80 nucleotides in length. Their secondary structure includes four short double-helical elements and three loops (D, anti-codon, and T loops).
Source: Rfam by way of RNAcentral